This 286-nucleotide ribosomal RNA is filed under the name unidentified marine bacterioplankton. RNAcentral describes it as "partial 16S ribosomal RNA". It matches the Rfam family "Bacterial small subunit ribosomal RNA", at positions 59 to 339 of the family's 1533-position model. The record is from RNAcentral.
AAGUCGAGGGGCAGCACGAUCUUCGGAUUGGUGGCGACCGGCGCACGGGUGCGUAACGCGCAUAGAACCACCUUUUUACAGAGGGAUAGCCCAGAGAAAUUUGGAUUAAUACCUCAUAGUAUUAUAGAUUGGCAUCGAUCUAUAAUUAAAACAUUUUAUGGGGUAAGAGAUGGCUAUGCGUCCUAUUAGUUAGUUGGUAAGGUAACGGCUUACCAAGACAGCGAUAGGUAGGGGUCCUGAGAGGGAGACCCCCCCACACUGGUACUGAGACACGGACCCAGACUCC